GGUCACCUGGCUUGGUCUACGUAAGUUUUGGAGGCUGUAUUAGUUGAUACUUAGAAACCAUGAAAUGACCAGGACAGCCACCUGUGGAAGAGGGAGACGUGACUGGGAGCAGUUUCCCCCACUGCUCCCGAAUUCUCUCCUCUAGGACCACACUGGUUGCAGUUCCACCUUCCUCGUGUAGUUUUGCGUGAUCUGAGUGGUAGUGCUGACACGAUGGAAGGAGACCCUCGGGGUUUACCGCCCAGAAGAGCCGAGGACUGGUCCUCUGCAGGUGACAGUACUUACUGCACGAGCCUGGUGACCUCGGUGUGACCCCUGGAGCCCACACAGAAAAGCGGGAUGCAUUGAUGCAUGUCUGCAAUCUUAGCAUUCCUAUCACAUGAGCUGGGAGACAGAGACAGGCGCCCAGAAGCCUGCUGGCCUGCUAGCCUGAUGUACCCGGAGUGGGAGGGACAAGAGUCCCUGGAUUAAAAACGAAGCGGGAGUGACCUGA
Molecule: non-coding RNA, 493 nt
Organism: Peromyscus maniculatus bairdii (prairie deer mouse)
Lineage: Eukaryota; Metazoa; Chordata; Mammalia; Rodentia; Cricetidae
Source: RefSeq, a predicted model, not a curated record